RNAcentral lists this long non-coding RNA (388 nucleotides) under Musa acuminata (dwarf banana). Its description in RNAcentral is "long non-coding RNA (MACU_LNC004714)". Lineage: Eukaryota; Viridiplantae; Streptophyta; Magnoliopsida; Zingiberales; Musaceae. The record is from RNAcentral.
AGAGUUCUUCCGCGAAUUGCUCUAGGGAAAUAUUAAUCAAACUGAACGGGCUUCUUACAAACCUUGAAGAAAUUGGACUCCAAUAAGAUUCAUAAUUUCUUUGUGUCUAUAUCUCUUCUGUAACUUGAGUAAAUCUGCCCUUCCCAAUCAUGUCACAUCAAACGGUUAGACUUUGCAAACACCAAUGUGAUUGAUAUGCAGAGAUCCUGAAUAUAUUCAUCUAUAAUCUUUUCCCAAUGUUUGCAAACCUUCUCGCAACUCCAAAAAUAACAGCCUUGGUCAACAGGCCAUGGUCAAGAGUGCAUGCAAUGGCUACAGCACCACCAACUACCAGGAACUUGGGUAUGCUACUGGUCCAGUUCUUCUGUUUCUCUGCUUCUACAACAUU